CUGGCUGCAAGGGAGCAGGGGCAGGAUAACAAAAGAAAGUAUAAAUAGUCUUUUUAAAAGCCUGUUAAAUAGAAGUAGACUUUUUAGGGAGGAGGGAGAAAGAAUGAGGUGUGUUACCAUAGUAACUGCCAAUGGUUUAUUUAAGAAGGACAAAGAAGCAAACACCACAAAAAGGCGAAGUCGACAGGAGCUGGAGAUUGCUGGAGGAAUCUGUCGGGGCACAGACAACAUGGGGCCAGAAACUUGGUCUGUACUCCCAGAUGGACAAAUACCUUCCUCACCAAAGACACACUGAACAGCUGUUGGAUGAACACAAAUAUGACUUGAUUGCUCGAAAUUAAAGUAAGCAUCACAGAGUUGAUAUCAUCACAGAAAGAAAGGUGACUACAGCUUGAACUCACAGAUUACUGAAGAAACUGGGGCUUUUGCCUGGUGAAGGA
This is a long non-coding RNA of Coturnix japonica (Japanese quail), 440 nucleotides long. RefSeq lists it as uncharacterized. The record is from RefSeq and is a predicted model, not a curated record. Lineage: Eukaryota; Metazoa; Chordata; Aves; Galliformes; Phasianidae.